Molecule: ribosomal RNA, 427 nt
Filed under: uncultured bacterium
Lineage: Bacteria
Description: bacterial SSU rRNA
Rfam family: Bacterial small subunit ribosomal RNA
Source: RNAcentral
UGGGGAAUAUUGGACAAUGAGCGAAAGCCUGAUCCAGCCAUGCCGCGUGUGUGAAGAAGGUCUUCGGAUUGUAAAGCACUUUAAGUUAAGAGGAAGGGCAUUAACCUAAUACGUUGGUGUCUUGACGUUACCGACAGAAUAAGCACCGGCUAACUCUGUGCCAGCAGCCGCGGUAAUACAGAGGGUGCAAGCGUUAAUCGGAAUUACUGGGCGUAAAGCGCGCGUAGGUGGUUAGUUAAGUUGGAUGUGAAAUCCCCGGGCUCAACCUGGGAACUGCAUUCAAGACUGACUGACUAGAGUAUGGUAGAGGGUGGUGGAGUUUCCUGUGUGGCGGUGAGAUGCGUGGAUAUAGGAAGGAGCACCAGUGGCGAAGGCGACCACCUGGACUGAUACUGACACUGAGGUGCGAAAGCGUGGGGAGCAAACA